RNAcentral lists this non-coding RNA (82 nucleotides) under Pseudomonas tolaasii NCPPB 2192. Lineage: Bacteria; Pseudomonadati; Pseudomonadota; Gammaproteobacteria; Pseudomonadales; Pseudomonadaceae. The record is from RNAcentral.
UCAAAUGUGGGAGCUGGCUUGCCUGCGAUAGCGUCGGUGAAUUCAACACCGCCAUCCCAGGCAAGCCAGCUCCCACAUUUUU